GCAUAUUUAAAAUAUUUAGAAAAUAAAUGUUACAAUAUUUUGAUAUCAUUUACUUAGUGAUCGAAAGGAUUCAAAAUCAACGGCUAAAAAUAAAAAUCUCACGAAAAGUGGUGAUAUAGUAAUAAAAUUUUCUAUCAGAGAUAUUGAUCUUGCUAUAGAUAGUAUAAAAAAUUUUCUAUUAAAAUUUUUUUUCUGAUUUGAAUACUUUUACACUGUUAAACUUAAAAACUAUUGAUUUUGAACCAUUUUGAUUACUAGAUAAAUGGUAUCGAAAAAUCGCAAAAUUUAUUUUCUAAAUACUUCAAAUAUGUUAGAUCAAGUCUAAUGGAGUGAAUCAUCAAUUCAAAAGUUCUAUUAUCGAAAAUGACUUAAGAGCACGGAGGCUAAGAGCACAGCAGCUCGCCCUAUUAUCUAUAUAUAGAGUCCAGUUGAGGUGCUUCUAUAAUAUCACCAAACACUUGAUGCUAUCAAGUUUUCACCAUUAUAUUUACCCCUUUGACCAUUUCUAUCCAUUAGAUUAUAUAUUCAACCAACCACCCGCUCAACCCUAGGGGACCACUAUUAUCCUAACCGCAUAUUCCGUCAUCCAAGGGUUGAAACCAAAUAGCACCAAUGACUUGGUGCUAUUAGAAACAUUCCAGCAUAAUUUUAUAUUUAUAUAUACACACACACAGAUACUAGUAGUAGUACUGCUGGAGAACUAUAUUUAUAUAAUAUGUAUAAUAUAUAAUAUAUAUUAUAAUUAGGCUAGUAUACUAUUAAUAGUAUCAAGCGCUUGGUGCUAUUAGGUUUUUAGCUCUUGAAUGAAGGGAUGUGCAGUUAGGAUGAUAAUGGUUCCUAGUUAGGAUACUCGUGGCCCUCUAGGGUUGAGUGGGUGAUUGAUAGAAUAAUAUGAUCUAAUAGGUGAAUAUGGUCAAAGGGGUAGAUCUAACGGCUAAAAACUUGAUAGUAGCAAACUCUUAGUACUAUCGAUAAUAU
RNAcentral lists this long non-coding RNA (978 nucleotides) under Ananas comosus (pineapple). Its description in RNAcentral is "long non-coding RNA (ACOM_LNC044825)". The record is from RNAcentral. Lineage: Eukaryota; Viridiplantae; Streptophyta; Magnoliopsida; Poales; Bromeliaceae.